GAAGAAGAGGAACUGGGCCUGGAAGGGCCCCGGUAACCACUACUGCUGCCGGUGUUUGCGGGUGGCAGGGAGCCAGGCCUGGCGAGCGGGGUGUGUCGCGAUGCCGGAGCUGGCGGUGCAGAAGGUGGUGGUCCACCCCCUGGUGCUGCUCAGUGUGGUGGAUCAUUUCAACCGAAUCGGCAAGGUUGGAAACCAGAAGCGUGUUGUUGGUGUGCUUUUGGGGUCAUGGCAAAAGAAAGUACUUGAUGUAUCGAACAGUUUUGCAGGUAAAAGACAAAUUUUGUGUUUUUCCGAGCAUGACUGAAAUGUCAGUUAACUCUUUAAAAAUAUAAACCUUUGUUACCACUUUUGACUACAGCCCAGAGAUUGUCUUAAAAUUGCUGAAGUAUAGAAAAGAGAACCUGAAGAUUGCACACUAGACCAGACAGUAAAUAUUUUAAACUUGCAGGCCAUGUGGUCUCCACUGCACCUGCUCCUCUCUGCCAUUAUAGUGCAAGAGCUGCUAUAGACAACAUGUAAGCAAACAAAAGUGGCAGU
RNAcentral lists this small RNA (537 nucleotides) under Pongo abelii (Sumatran orangutan). RNAcentral describes it as "retained intron". The record is from RNAcentral. Lineage: Eukaryota; Metazoa; Chordata; Mammalia; Primates; Hominidae.